Molecule: ribosomal RNA, 492 nt
Filed under: uncultured bacterium
Lineage: Bacteria
Description: partial 16S ribosomal RNA
Rfam family: Bacterial small subunit ribosomal RNA
Source: RNAcentral
AGCGAACGCUGGCGGUGGGCCUAACACAUGCAAGUCGAACGGCAGCACAGUGAGAUCUUGCUGUGCCGGGUGGGGGGAGGCGGACGUGAGAGGAAUGUAUCGUAAUCUAGUUUUUCGUGUGGGAUAAGGAAGGUAGACUUACUCUAAUACCGCAGCCGCUCUACGGUUGUAAGCAUUGGAUAUUUGCACCUUUCGCGAAUGAAUUAGCGGAUGAUGAGUUAGCUAGUUGGCCGGUUGAAGACCCACGAAGUCGACGAUCCGUAGCUUGCCUGAGAGGAUGGUCAGCCACACUGGAGCUGAGACGCGGUCCAGAGUACUGCGGGAGGCAGCAGUGGGGAAUAUUGGACAAUGGGCGCAAGCCUGAUACAGCCAUACCGAGUGGGUGAAGAAGGCCUUCGGGUUGUAAAGACCUUUUGUUGGGAAAGAAAAGCAGCAGGUUAAUACCCAGCUGUUCUGACGGUAACCAAAGAAUAAGCACCGGCUAACUUCGUG